Molecule: unclassified non-coding RNA, 690 nt
Filed under: Paenibacillus lentimorbus
Lineage: Bacteria; Bacillati; Bacillota; Bacilli; Caryophanales; Paenibacillaceae
Source: RNAcentral
CUAAGGAAUACGUCUCCUGCGACGGAGACAUACAGGAAGCCUAAGCUUCCAUACACAAACAUCACUCGUUGUCAGUUUUGAAAGGACAAUUCCUUUCGCUUGUUUGGCGACUAUGGCGGAGGGGUUCCACGCGUUCCCAUCUCGAACACGGCCGUUAAGCCCUCCAGCGCCGAUGGUACUUGGACCGCAGGGUCCUGGGAGAGCAGGACGUUGCCAAGCAAGUCUGCGACGCGCAGAUUGCCGCCCCUGGCGGCGAUGCGGGCCCUUAGCUCAGCUGGUUAGAGCGCACCCCUGAUAAGGGUGAGGUCGGUGGUUCGAGUCCACUAGGGCCCACCAUAUAUAUUUUCAUAUCCGAUAUGGGGCCAUAGCUCAGCUGGGAGAGCGCCUGCCUUGCAAGCAGGAGGUCAGGAGUUCGAUCCUCCUUGGCUCCACCAUAACAAUCAUUUCUUGAUUUUGUACCUUGAAAACUGAAUCGCGAAAGUAAAGCUUAGAAUCAUCCUUUAAUUUUAAAUAGGAGUUAAAAAGUUUACUUUUCAGCACCAAGAAGCUUGCUUGAAGCUGAAGAAAGAGGAGCGCAGUGUAGUUGAGACUACAUGAGCACCGGAUUUCGAAGCUGAAGGCAAGAUUCGAUGCCGAAUAACCCCUUGAGAUCCUUCGUGAUCAAAAGGAAACUUUUUAACAACCUAACUA